RNAcentral lists this ribosomal RNA (491 nucleotides) under uncultured bacterium. RNAcentral describes it as "partial 16S ribosomal RNA". It matches the Rfam family "Bacterial small subunit ribosomal RNA", at positions 28 to 507 of the family's 1533-position model. The record is from RNAcentral.
GAUGAACGCUGGCUACAGGCUUAACACAUGCAAGUCGAGGGGAAACGACGGGGAAGCUUGCUUCCCCGGGCGUCGACCGGCGCACGGGUGAGUAACGCGUAUCCAACCUGCCUCUGACUGAGGGAUAACCCGUCGAAAGUCGGCCUAAUACCUCAUGGUAUCGUCUGCGGGCAUCCAACGACGAUUAAAGAUUUCAUCGGUCAGGGAUGGGGAUGCGUCUGAUUAGCUUGUUGGCGGGGUAACGGCCCACCAAGGCUACGAUCAGUAGGGGUUCUGAGAGGAAGGUCCCCCACAAUGGAACUGAGACACGGUCCAAACUGCUACGGGAGGCAGCAGUGAGGAAUAUUGGUCAAUGGGCGAGAGCCUGAACCAGCCAAGUGGCGUGCAGGAAGACGGCCCUAUGGGUUGUAAACUGCUUUUAUGCGGGGAUAAAGUGAGGGACGUGUCCCUCAUUGCAGGUACCGCAUGAAUAAGGACCGGCUAAUUCCGUG